Molecule: ribosomal RNA, 1178 nt
Filed under: Laemobothrion tinnunculi
Lineage: Eukaryota; Metazoa; Arthropoda; Insecta; Psocodea; Laemobothriidae
Description: 16S ribosomal RNA
Rfam family: Archaeal large subunit ribosomal RNA (bases 516-1178)
Source: RNAcentral
UAAUAAAAUAAAUAAAAAAAUAAUAUAAAAUUUUGAUUAAUAACUAAAUUUAAAUAAUAAGUACUGAAAAGGAUUUAGUUAAAGUAUAACAAAGUAUUCUCAAUGAAGUACCUUUUGCAUCAUGGUCUAUGGAAAAAAAAAUAGAUAAAUUAUUCCCGAAUUAAAGUGAUCUAUAAAAAAAUGAAAAUUACUGUUUCAAAAUUAAUUAAUAUCUUUUUAUAGAAGUUAAAUGCAAAUCGAACUUUAAGAUAUCUGGUUUUCUAAGAAAUGAAUUUAAUUCAGUUAAAGCAAUAAAAUUUUAAAUAUUUAAAACGUUUAAAAUUUAACUUUUAGUAAAUUAAUGGGGGAUAAGCUCCAUUAAAGUUUCUUACAUACUUUCAUAUAAAUUAGAUUUGUAAAAUAUUAUAAAUAUUAACAUUAUAUUUAGUAAAUCUAUUUUAUUUAGUAUAAAAUUUAUUAAAUCUAUUAAGAGGUUAUUAGAAAAUUAAAUACAUUUUUAAAAUUCAAAUAAUAAUCAUAGAAUGAGUAUUAAGUACAUACUUGUAUAAGGAAUUCAGCAAUUAAUAAGUUCGCCGGUUUAACAAAAACUUGUCCUUAAGAAAAUAAUUUAAGGUACAAUCUGCUCACUGAAUAUUUUAAAGAGCCGCAGUAGCCUGACUGUGCUAAGGUAGCAUAAUAAAUUGCAUUUUAAUUGGAUGAUAGAAUGAAGGAUUAAACGGACUUAAACUGUCUCAUACAAGAUAUAAUAAAUUAACUUUUAAGUUAAAAGGCUUAAAUAAAAAUAGGGGACGAGAAGACCCUGUAGAGCUUAAUUAGUUAAAAAAUAAACAAAAAACAAAUUAUUUAUUUUAACUAGUUUGAUUGGGGGUAUCGAGCAAUAAAAGAAAUUUGCUUUAAAUUUAAUUUAAAUAUAAAAAUUACAAAAGCUUUCAGAUGGAAAAAAAAGAAAAGCUUCCUCAGGGAUAACAGCAUAAUAUCAAUCUCAAGAACUUAUUGAGACUGAUGCUUGUGACCUCGAUGUUGAAUUAAGAUAACCUAUUAGAGAAGAAAAUUUAAAGGUUAGUCUGUUCGACUAUUAAAAUCUUACAUGAUUUGAGUUCAGACCGACGUAAGUCAGGUCAGUUUCUAUCUCUAUUUUUAACUUUAAUCUUUGUACGAAAGGAUCAGAUUAAAUUUUU